ACAUGAGCACCUCACGGCCGCCGCAGCAGAUUGUACAAUAUGACUGAUAUCCAUCGUCGUCAUAUUGGUACGCGCACUCCAGGAAGCAGUUCUGGGGGCAGUGAGAGGGGCGUGAACACUACAUCCCCUCCACACCCCUCCACCCCAGGGGACGGCCCACAGCACAGACGCAGGGCUCUGCACCUGGCCAUGGGGACGCUGCCCAGAGUACUCCACCCUCGGGCUGCCCUGCUGGGCUAGGGAGCAGAACCCCUGCAGCUGACGCGCUGGGCUUCUGCGGCCCGGGCUGGCCUGCUGCGGGAGCCUGCCUCGAGGGGAAAUUCUUCGAGCAGAGGGAUAAAAGGACCUGGAAAUGCUUCAAGACAGCAAAGGGAUGGAACCCCAGGAGAAGAGGAGGUUACUCACCUGUAACUGGAGGUUCUUCGAGACAGGUGGUCCCUACCUGCAUUCACUGAGGGGUUAUGCAUGCGGCAUGCGCCUGGAGCUGGAGCAUUUGGAAGCAGGCGUGUCUGUUGGUGCAUGCGCCCUUGCGUCACCUCAUGGUUUUGUCUGAGGUGAUAACGGGUGGGGCAGAGUGACCACGCCCUCUGUUCCUCCACCAGAUGUGCAGCAGAGGGGCUGGAGGGCGGGCAGUGGAAUCCCGAGGGGAGGGAGGAACGGAGGACAGCCGUGCAGAGUCCCGCACCAAGGUGCGGCCAACUCCACGUAUGUCUGGAAGCGACACAUCGGGGAGAGUGCUGCAGUCGACGUGUGGGCUCUCACUCCAAGUCCCGUCAAUGGAGAGCAGAGUGUAAUACAACCCAAAAACUGCUUGACAAUCCUGCCUGCUCCUUAAGCCUUGCAGCUAUUGCAAUAAACGGUCUAGGGCAGCGGUUCUCAAAGAUUAGCAACCCCAGGACCCUCAGUUUGAUUUAAAAAUUUUUGAGACCCCCUGCCCUGUCUGUUCACUGAGGCCCCACCCCCACUCGCUCCAUUCCCCUUCCCUCUGUUGUUUGCUCUCCCCCACCCUCACCCACUUUCACCAGGCUGAGGCAUGGGUUGGGGUGCAGGUUGGGGCCCAGGGGUGGGGAAGGGGGUUGGGUGUGGGGGGGUGCAGAGUGCAGGCUCUGGGAAGGAGUUUGGGUGCAGGAGGGGACUCUGGGCUGGGGUGCAGGUGGGGACUCAGGGGUGGGGCAGAGGGUUGGGUGUAGGGGGUGCGGAGUGCGGGCUCUGGGAAGCAGUUUGGGUGCAGGAGGGGACUCUGGGCUGGGGAAGGGGGCUGGGGUGCAGAUGGGGGCUCAGGGCUGGGGCAGGAGGUUGGGUGUGGGGGGUGCAGAGUGUGGGCUCUGGGAAGGAGUUUGGGUGCGGGAGGGGACUCUGGGCUGGGGAAGGGGGUUGGGGUGCGGGAGAGCGUUUGGGGUGCGGGGGCCUGGUAGCACUUACCACAGCUCCUAGGAAGCAGCUGCCAGGUCCCUGCAGCCCCUAGACCAGUGGUUCCCAAAAAUGUUACAGGGGGUUCUCGGGAAAAAAUUCCCUAUGGCGGACAGAGCUGUCCCUAGGGAUCCCAGACAGCACGGGGCCAGCAGCCCGGAGCCCCUGGACUUCCAAGAGCUAAGCAUAUCAAAGCGAGCAUCUCUACCCCACUGAGGAGAGUUAAACUUCAAGACUCCUUAUAAGAAAUGGAAAGGGAGGUGGAUUUUUUGUUGUUGCUGUUUUUAAAAUGAAACAGGCAGCUAGGAUUGUUUUUAAAUUAUUAUGAAGAACAAGUUUAAGCUUUGUUGUAAGGUGCGUUGUUUGCCUGGACUGCUCAAGCCCUGAAUGCUUGUGUAGGAGGAACUCUGAGUUGGCUUCUUAAAUCCCUUCCUGCUGUUUCACAUCUGAUACUCCUUGAUGAAACACAGGAGCCUUGUCUUGUAACAGGCUUAUUCAAAGUGAUACAAGCUACGAACGUGAGAUCUUGUCAGAGUGUUGCCGUUUUCAUAAUGUAAUAAAAAUACUGCAAUGAUAAAUAAUAAUUAAUAAUAAAUAGUGUGUAAUAAACAUGUCAUAAUAACAAAUGGUAUAUUUCCAAGAUCACUGCUUUUAUAAUUUAUACUCAGAUAAAGGAAAAAAUCCCUGGAAAUAUUCGUUUUUAGGAGAAGGUUCUUGAGACUUGACAUUUUAAUGAAAGGGGUUCACAGGAUGUUAAAGUUUGGGAACCGCUGCCCUAGACGCAUGGGCGGCCAGGGAGGCUCUGUGCGCUGCCCUUGUGACCACAUACGCCGUCCCCACAGCUCCCAUUGGUCACGGUUCCUGGUUUAUGGGAGCUGCGGAGCCGGCACUUGGGCGGGGGCAGCGUGCGGAGCCUCCCUGGCCACCCAUGAGCCUAAGGGCCGCAAGGAGCUGGUGGCCACUUCCAGGCAGGUAGGGAACCUGCCUUAGCCCCGGGCCCCCAAUGCGCUGGGAGGGAGGGGGAGGAGUUGAUCAGCAGGGCCUGCGGACUCCCUGGAUCCCAGUUUGAGAAACGCUGGGGACCUCCUGAUAGGUCUCGUCCUUGGCAUGUAGAAGGUCAGAGCCCUGCGGACGUCGAAGGAGUGAAGGUGCUGCUCCUCUGCCGAGGCGUGAGGCUUUGGGAAGAAAGCAGAUGAGUGUACGGGGUGGUUGAGAUGAAACUGAGCUAUGACCUUUGGUAGAAACUUGGGAGUGCAGGCGCAGGAAGACUUUAUCCUUAUGGAACGUGGUGAAAGAGGGGGCCCUCCAUCAUGGCCCCCAGUUCGCCUUCCCUUCUCGCCGAAGUGACAGCCACUAGGAAGGAGACUUUCAUGGAAAGGAGGGACAUAGAGCAUAAAGCCAGAGGCUCGAAGGGCGGUUUCAUUAACGCCGCUAGAACGAGGUUGAGGUCCCACUGGGGAGUGAUAGGCUGGAUGGGUGGGAAAGUCCUGAAGAGACCUUUCCAAAACCUGGUAGUCAAUGGAUGUGUAAAUAUGGAGUGUGCUUCCAUGGGGCGGUGGAAGGUACUGAUUGCCACUACAUGAACCUUGAGAGAACUGAGGGCGAGCCCUGAUGUCUUCAAGGGCAAGAGGCUGUCAAAAGAAGAGAAAUGCCCACUUCCUUAGGGGAAAGCCCUUUUGCUGGGACCAAAGGCCAAGUGAUUCUCCUUGGCUCAACAGGAACGCCUCGUGGACUCCCUCCUGCUGCUCGAAAGGCUAUCAUGCCCCACCGACGAACAUUCUCGUUCUAGAGAAGAUGCCCAUCCAAAUACCAAGCUUUGAGGUGAAGUGUCUGUGGAUUGGGAUGUCUGAUCCUGCUGUUGUGUUGCGGGUAGGGGAAGUGAGGGACAGGCUGACAGAAGAAGAUGGUUGGGAAACCAAAACUGGGGUGGCCAGACCGGGGCCCUCUCCUGCCUGAUCUUUUGGAGGACUGGUGGGAGGAGAGGAGGAGGGGAAGAAGUAGUUGAUCUGGUCUGACCAGUGGAGGAAGAGGCAUCGCCUUGAGCAGUACAUGCUGCAUGUCGUUGUUGCUGUGGAAGGCAAAGAGGUUUCUGGUGGGAGUCCCCCACUGGCUGAAGAUGUUGUUUACUACAGAGUCGUGCAUCUCCCACUCGUGACUGGAGAUGAAUCUUCGGCUAAGAGUCUGCACUCACGUUCAGAAUCCCCAGAAGAUAGACUGCCAACAACAGGCUCUUGUGGGCAAUGCACCAAUCCCGCAGACUGACCACUUCUGCACACAGACCUCCUGCCCCCUGGUCUGUGAUGUAAUAGAUGGUGGUGUCCAACACGACGAGAACAUGAUGCGAGCGAAUGGAUGGGAGAAAUGCUUGACACGCUUGCCGUACUGCCCGGAGUUCCAGAAGGUUGAGGUGCAUCCUGAAUUCCCGAGGGGUCCAUGUCCCUUGCAUCAUGUGAUGGGCCAUGUGUGCUCCCCAUCCUGUGAGGGAUGUGUCCUGUCCAGGGAGGAUGGGGAUCCCUGUACAGACCUGCUGCGGGUCCAUUCACCACUGGAGGGAAGAGAACACCUUGGGGGGGACUGACAACAUAAAGCCUGUGGCACAUAGAGUGUGAGAGUUUCAUGGGGUAGGUACAACCUGUCAUGGGGUGUCAGGUCACAUAUAGUCAGAAGAAAAGGAAAGGCAGUGCCACAGCCGGAUAGGUCCUACGCUGGUGACCCUGACCAUAAAGUGUGGUAGUACGGCCUAGUGGCUGGAGUCGCCCCUCCUCAUGGGGCUGUAUGGCUCAGUGGCCAGCGUCAAUUGAGUGACCCUUCCUUACAGGGCUGUGUAGCCUACUGGCUGGAGUCAAUAAAACUGUCCACAUCUGAGGGGUUGUGUGGCCUUUUGGCCCACUGGGGAAGUGGAGCGCCGCCUAGGAGUGUGUGGUGCCUGGGGUAGGGGGACCUGGGCCCUCCCUGCUCCUCUGAGUCCCAGCCCAGGGCCCUGUCAGUGGCGAGGGUGCUCACCACUGAGUCAGUGGGGAUCCCCCCGAAACACACUGACCUGUUCUCCAGUUCUCGCCCCCUGGGCUGCUUCCUACCCUGUCUUCUUCAGAGGUGUCCCCAUGGUCUCUGGGGUCCUCGGCCGGUGCACCUCCUGAUGACUCCCUUCUCUGGAUUCCACAAACACCCUAGAAUCCGUCUGGGGCUCGGGGUGCGUUGGCUCUGUGGUUUGGGCUGGUAGCAGCUCCCGGGAGACAGCCUGCAAUCUGCACCCUUCCUGUUCAGCAGCCUGGACUGAGCAGAGCUGCUUCUUUAAUAUCUUGCCUACAGGCUGAGCAUGCCCAACAGAGGUGGAGGGGCAUGGCCUUCUCAUCCUGCAAUGCGCAGUUAACCCUUUCUGAGCCAGGAUGUGUUAGGUACACCCCAUCAUAGUGAGUAAACCCUCUGGAGCGACAUCUGCAGACAGCGAAGGUGGAGGUGAGCGAAGGCAGUGAUAUAUGUAGAGGAUGCCAUGUGGCCAAGGAGGGAUAAGCAAGUCCUGACCGGGACAGAUGGACUGUUGACUAUCCAGUCAAUGAGUUCCUGUAGAGGCUGGAACCUGUCCCUUGCUAGGUAAGCUCUGGCUGUGACCAAGCUGAUGGAGACCCCUAUGAAGACUUGGGGCUGUGUGGGAAUCAAAAUUGAUUUUUCGAUGUUGACAUUGACUCCCAGGGAGGAAAGGAGUCUGAGCAACACGGAGGUCGAGAUUCAAGCCUCGUCUCUGGAUUGCGCCGCUAGUCAAGAUGGGGAAUAUCAGGACUCCAGAGGUGGGCCGCUAUGAUACAGAAAACUUUGGUGAAGACCUGGGGAGCAGUGGUGAGCCCAAAUGGCAGAACUCUGUACUGAAAAUGCUGAAGGCCUACCAUGAACCUCAGGAAUUUUCUGUGAGUUGGAUGAAUGUCUAUGUGACAAUAGGUGUUCUGCAUAUUGAGAGCCAUAAAGCACAUGCCUUUCCUAGUAACAGCAUGAUGGCCGCUAAAGCGACCAUACGAAACUUGGCUGGCAGGUGAAGCGGUUGAGGCAACGGAGAUCCAGGAUUGGUCUCCAUCUGCCAUUCUUCUUGCGUACCAGUAAGUAAGUGGAAUAGAACCCCGUGCCCCGAUAGCUCGGGGGAACGUGCUCUCUCACUCCCCUUUGCAGUAAGUGGCCAUUUCUAAGGCAAGGAUGCUGUUGUGAGAGUGGUCCCUGAAGAGGGAUUGGGGUGGGCGAUGUGGAUGAGGUAGUGUGCUGAACUCGAUUGUGUAGCCAUAGCUGAUGGCAUCCAGGACCCACUUGUCUGUAGUUAUUGCACUCCAAGCUGGUAAGAAGAAUGCUAGAUUCACCUGAAGGGGACGCUCUAGUUGCAUGGCAGUUGGAACGGUGGUUGACACUCAGAAAUAUUGUUUCUGAGAGAUCUGAAUGUGAGAUGCUGAAGUCUGGGAAGGAGGCCUGGAGGGCGGGAUCGCUGGGUCUUCUGACACUUCCGAGGAGGUUCAUAUGGUCUCUGGUGGAAGAAUGAGGAGUCCUGAGUAGGUGCUGGGUGGUAGAAGUUACCAGAUACCCAGCGAUCGAAGUGUGACUCUAGAAUCCUUGAGGGAGUGGAGGGAAUAGUCAGUCUUCAGAUUCAACCAGUGCAACUCAUCGAACGAGAGCUCCUCGAUGGUAUUUUGCACCUCCCUGGGGAAACCGAUUUGUGGAGCCAUGAUUCCCUCCGCAUGACAAAGCCCGUGCCCGUGAAGAGGAUCCGCAGGGUCUUGAGCUGACUGUAGCGCUGUUUGCCCUCCUGCAGGACAGACUGGAACCAUACUCGACUUUGCUGAGGCACCUUUCAGUGAAGUCCUCCAACUUUCCGUAGUUGAGGAAGUCAGAUUUGGCCAGCAAGGCCUGGUAGUUUGAAAUUGGAGGCUAGCUCAAGAGAAGACCUGGAGCCUCAGAAGGUCUAAGCAUUUGCCCUCCUUAUCCGACGGGGUGGAGCAUGAGUGUUGCUGUCUGGACUGUUCUGUUGCUGCUUGCACCAAGAGGGAACUGGGUGGGGGUGUGAGAAAAGGAACUUCGACCCCUUGGCCGGUACGUAGCAUCUCUUCCCUGCCCCCUGGGAGGUAGCUGUGCAAGUGGGCAGGGUAGGCCAAACCAUAUGAGCUGGUUUGAGAAUGGCACCAUUGAUCGGCACCAAGGAAUGAAGGGUGUCAAGGACCUGGUGCUGCUCGUCUCGUACUCCCUCCAGUGGAAUAUGAAGGCCAUCCGCCACUUCACAGGAGUUCUGGGAACUGCCAAAAGUCAUCUGGAGAUGAGGUGGAGUAAGGUUACUGCAGCGGCUGGAGAGGACGAUGGGAAAUGCUCUUGCUCUGGCAGUACUGGUGGAACCGGACUGCACAGGUUGGAGUACGUGCCCGAGGGCCCCCUGAGCAGGGAGGGGGUGAAGCCCUUGUGCUCUGUUGGAAUCCUCCCAUGAUGAGAACUCAGAUCUUGGUUCCAAUGGUGGUACCGUUGGAGCCGGUGGAAGUGUGAAAACCGUAGAAGGAUGAGUUGCAGCAUGACUUGAUUGCGGUAAGUCCUGGAUAGGAGAUUGGACCUCCCUAGGUGCGGAGGGUAGAGGAAGGCAUUGAGAUCUCAGUUCUCCUAGGGCAAACAAUUCAUGUGGUUCUGGUGCUUCCUCCAAUCCACCUAGUGUUAACGGUACUCAUUCCGCAGCCAGAACCGGCACUGCAGUGGAGGACUGUCCCGGAGUUGAUGGAGCCCUUGUUUUAAGGGAGGCUGACAGAGUGUGCAUGACUGGCUGCUCGGUGCCGGUGGAGCUGCUGGUCUGCAUGAUUUUUUGUCAUGCUUGUGCACCUUGGAACGCCCCGCUUCUCCGUGGCUGGUACAUGUGGAAGGGAUGUCAUCAUUCUUAGGCUUGGAGGAAGAAUUACUGUCAUGCUUAUCACAGAAGAUUAGGGUUGGAAGAGAUCUCAGGUCGUCAUCUAGUGCAACCCCCUGCUCAAAGCAGGACCAUGGUUCCCUGCCUCCCAACUAGGCCCUGGCACAUGGUCCGUAGCAGUGGUGCCAGUGGACCAGGACUAUGUCUCCAUAGCGGGAGGCGCACUCCUGGGUUUCUCAGGCCAAUGUACGGAGCAGUUCUCUGGCCUGGUUCCAAUUAAGGACUCAUGGUGACCUUCUUGAGGCAGAGAGCCUGGCCUUCUCGGAUACGGCAUUGGAAGGACUGGCAGAUACGGCUCCUGGAUACAAUGUGGGCCUCUCCCAAGCAGCAGCGGCACCACUGCUGCUUGUCACUGACCGAGAAGGAACACAGGCAGGAGGUGCAGAUCUUGAAUCCUGGCAUCUUUGUUACAAUCCACUUUCUGCGUGUGGGUGCUGGGGUGGGAGAACCGGUAAACAGAUUCCACAAAGGCCUCAGUUCUACUAAAGCAGCAAGGAAUCCUGUGGCAUCUUACAGACUAACAAAUGUUAGUCUAUAAGGUGCCACAGGAUUCUUUGCUGCUUUUACAGAUCCAGACUAACAUGGUGUGAUGAACUAGGAAUGUUCUUAAUGUUUUCUCUGAAUACUGUGUUGGUGCCUCGGUGUCCCCUAGGCAGUUCUGAAGUAUCUGGCAGAGCAAAGGGCCAAUGCACUUAAAUGCCUGGCACUCUGUCUCCUAGCAACUGAUGGCCUGGGCCCCUCCCCUGCAAAGGUGCCAGCUGAAGGUGUUGGAGACAAAGGGAUCAGGUGACCUCCUGGCCCGGGAAAGGAGCUGAGCAGAGAGGAGGGGCUGGAGGGGGUUGUGAGUCUGGAGCUGGCUGGGGACGAGGAGUGAAGUGCAGACAUGGGGGUCUGGCUCACUGCCCCCCAGAAUGGACCCGGCCGAGGGGUCCGGCUCGCGGUACCUAUAAGCUCUGUUUUAGACCCUGUUCCUGUCAUCAAAUAAACCUCUGUUUUACUGGCUG
This is a long non-coding RNA of Gopherus flavomarginatus (Mexican gopher tortoise), 8328 nucleotides long. RefSeq lists it as uncharacterized. The record is from RefSeq and is a predicted model, not a curated record. Lineage: Eukaryota; Metazoa; Chordata; Testudines; Testudinidae. The transcript is spliced from 2 exons.